GAUUAACGCUGGCGGCGUGCCUAAUACAUGCAAGUCGAGCGAACAGACUAGGAGCUUGUUCCUCUGACGUUAGCGGCGGACGGGUGAGUAACCCGUGGAGUACCUCCCUAUAAGACUGGGUUAACUUCGGGAAACCGCAGCUAAUACCGGGUAAUAUAUUGUAUCGCAUUGUUCAAUCGUGUACGACGGUGUUGCUGUUGAUUAUGGUGUAAUCCGAGCUGCAUUCGGUUUUUGGUAAGGUAACGGCUUACCAAGGCAACGAGGCGUAGCCGACCCGAGAGGGUGAGAGGCGACACCGGCACUGAGACACGGUCCAGACGAUUAGGAGAGGCAGCAGUAGGGAAUCUUCAGCAAUGGGAGAAGGCCUGAAGGAUCAACGACGCGUGAGAGAUGAAGGUAUCGGGAUCGUAAGACUCUGUAAUUAGUGAAGAACAAAUGUGUAAGUAAAUAUGCACGUCUUGACGGUACCAAAUCAGAAAGCCACGGCUAAUUACGUG
RNAcentral lists this ribosomal RNA (497 nucleotides) under uncultured bacterium. RNAcentral's name for it is "partial 16S ribosomal RNA". It matches the Rfam family "Bacterial small subunit ribosomal RNA", at positions 28 to 507 of the family's 1533-position model. The record is from RNAcentral.